Molecule: ribosomal RNA, 2147 nt
Filed under: Listeria monocytogenes
Lineage: Bacteria; Bacillati; Bacillota; Bacilli; Caryophanales; Listeriaceae
Description: partial 23S ribosomal RNA
Rfam family: Bacterial large subunit ribosomal RNA
Source: RNAcentral
CGAAACCAGGUGAUCUACCCAUGUCCAGGAUGAAGGUAAGGUAAUACUUACUGGAGGUCCGAACCCACGCACGUUGAAAAGUGCGGGGAUGAGGUGUGGGUAGCGGAGAAAUUCCAAUCGAACUUGGAGAUAGCUGGUUCUCUCCGAAAUAGCUUUAGGGCUAGCCUCGAGGUAAAGAGUCAUGGAGGUAGAGCACUGUUUGGACUAGGGGCCCUUCUCGGGUUACCGAAUUCAGAUAAACUCCGAAUGCCAUGUACUUAUACUCGGGAGUCAGACUGCGAGUGAUAAGAUCCGUAGUCGAAAGGGAAACAGCCCAGACCACCAGUUAAGGUCCCCAAAUAUAUGUUAAGUGGAAAAGGAUGUGGGGUUGCUUAGACAACCAGGAUGUUGGCUUAGAAGCAGCCACCAUUGAAAGAGUGCGUAAUAGCUCACUGGUCGAGUGACCCCGCGCCGAAAAUGUACCGGGGCUAAACAUAUUACCGAAACUGUGGAUGAACCUCUUCGGAGGUUCGUGGUAGGAGAGCGUUCUAAGGGCGGUGAAGUCAGACCGGAAGGACUGGUGGAGCGCUUAGAAGUGAGAAUGCCGGUAUGAGUAGCGAAAGAAGGGUGAGAAUCCCUUCCACCGAAUAUCUAAGGUUUCCUGAGGAAGGCUCGUCCGCUCAGGGUUAGUCGGGACCUAAGCCGAGGCCGAUAGGCGUAGGCGAUGGACAACAGGUAGAGAUUCCUGUACCAGUGCUAAUUGUUUAACCGAUGGGGUGACACAGAAGGAUAGGGAAUCGCACGAAUGGAAAUGUGCGUCCAAGCAGUGAGUGUGAGAAGUAGGCAAAUCCGCUUCUCGCGAAGCAUGAGCUGUGAUGGGGAAGGAAAUUAAGUACGGAAGUUCCUGAUUUCACGCUGUCAAGAAAAGCCUCUAGGAAGAGUAGUACUGCCCGUACCGCAAACCGACACAGGUAGAUGAGGAGAGAAUCCUAAGGUGAGCGAGAGAACUCUCGUUAAGGAACUCGGCAAAAUGACCCCGUAACUUCGGGAGAAGGGGUGCUCUAUUAGGGUGCAAGCCCGAGAGAGCCGCAGUGAAUAGGCCCAGGCGACUGUUUAGCAAAAACACAGGUCUCUGCAAAACCGUAAGGUGACGUAUAGGGGCUGACGCCUGCCCGGUGCUGGAAGGUUAAGAGGAGUGCUUAGCUUCGGCGAAGGUACGAAUUGAAGCCCCAGUAAACGGCGGCCGUAACUAUAACGGUCCUAAGGUAGCGAAAUUCCUUGUCGGGUAAGUUCCGACCCGCACGAAAGGCGCAACGAUCUGGGCACUGUCUCAACGAGAGACUCGGUGAAAUUAUAGUACCUGUGAAGAUGCAGGUUACCCGCGACAGGACGGAAAGACCCCGUGGAGCUUUACUGCAACCUGAUAUGGAAUGUUUGUACCGCUUGUACAGGAUAGGUAGGAGCCGAAGAGACGUGUGCGCUAGCAUACGAGGAGGCAAUGGUGGGAUACUACCCUGGCUGUAUGACCAUUCUAACCCGCCACGCUUAGCGCGUGGGGAGACAGUGUCAGGUGGGCAGUUUGACUGGGGCGGUCGCCUCCUAAAGAGUAACGGAGGCGCCCAAAGGUUCCCUCAGAAUGGAUGGAAAUCAUUCGCAGAGUGUAAAGGCACAAGGGAGCUUGACUGCGAGACUGACAAGUCGAGCAGGGACGAAAGUCGGGCUUAGUGAUCCGGUGGUUCCGCAUGGAAGGGCCAUCGCUCAACGGAUAAAAGCUACCCCGGGGAUAACAGGCUUAUCUCCCCCAAGAGUCCACAUCGACGGGGAGGUUUGGCACCUCGAUGUCGGCUCGUCGCAUCCUGGGGCUGUAGUCGGUCCCAAGGGUUGGGCUGUUCGCCCAUUAAAGCGGCACGCGAGCUGGGUUCAGAACGUCGUGAGACAGUUCGGUCCCUAUCCGUCGCGGGCGCAGGAAAUUUGAGAGGAGCUGUCCUUAGUACGAGAGGACCGGGAUGGACACACCGCUGGUGUACCAGUUGUUCCGCCAGGAGCAUCGCUGGGUAGCUAUGUGUGGCAGGGAUAAACGCUGAAAGCAUCUAAGCGUGAAGCCCCCCUCAAGAUGAGAUUUCCCAUUUCUUCGGAAAGUAAGAUCCCUGAAAGAUGAUCAGGUAGAU